RNAcentral lists this transfer RNA (66 nucleotides) under Cirroctopus glacialis. RNAcentral's name for it is "tRNA-Asn". The record is from RNAcentral. Lineage: Eukaryota; Metazoa; Mollusca; Cephalopoda; Octopoda; Opisthoteuthidae.
CAGCAAAAAGCCAAAAUAGAGGCAUUUAAUUGUUAAUUAAAUAAUUGUGUAUUUACACUUUACUGG